CCUACGGGUGGCUGCAGUGAGGAAUAUUGGUCAAUGGGCGUAAGCCUGAACCAGCCAAGUCGCGUGCGGGAUGAAGGUUCUAUGGAUCGUAAACCUCUUUUAUAAGGGAGUAAAGUGUGGGACGUGUCCUAUUUUGUAUGUACCUUAUGAAUAAGGAUCGGCUAACUCCGUGCCAGCAGCCGCGGUAAUACGGAGGAUCCGAGCGUUAUCCGGAUUUAUUGGGUUUAAAGGGUGCGUAGGCGGCCUGUUAAGUCAGCGGUGAAAGUCUGUGGCUCAACCAGAGAAUUGCCGUUGAAACUGGGGGGCUUGAGUAUGUUUGAGGCAGGCGGAAUGCGUGGUGUAGCGGUGAAAUGCUUAGAGAUCACGCAGAACACCGAUUGCGAAGGCAGCCUGCCAAGCCAUGACUGACGCUGAUGCACGAAAGCGUGGGGAUCAAACAGGAUUAGAUACCCCGGUAGUC
Molecule: ribosomal RNA, 460 nt
Filed under: uncultured bacterium
Lineage: Bacteria
Description: partial 16S ribosomal RNA
Rfam family: Bacterial small subunit ribosomal RNA
Source: RNAcentral